AGAUUAAGUUAUUAAGGGCGCACGGUGGAUGCCUUGGCACUAGAAGCCGAUGAAGGACGUUACUAACGACGAUAUGCUUUGGGUAGCUGUAAGUAAGCGUUGAUCCAGAGAUUUCCGAAUGGGGGAACCCAGCAUGAGUUAUGUCAUGUUAUCGACAUGUGAAUUUAUAGCAUGUCAGAAGGCAGACCCGGAGAACUGAAACAUCUUAGUACCCGGAGGAAGAGAAAGAAAAAAUCGAUUCCCUGAGUAGCGGCGAGCGAAACGGGAAGAGCCCAAACCAACAAGCUUGCUUGUUGGGGUUGUAGGACACUCUAUACGGAGUUACAAAAGAACAUGUUAGACGAAUCAUCUGGAAAGAUGAAUCAAAGAAGGUAAUAAUCCUGUAGUCGAAAACAUAUUCUCUCUUGAGUGGAUCCUGAGUACGACGGAGCACGUGAAAUUCCGUCGGAAUCUGGGAGGACCAUCUCCUAAGGCUAAAUACUC
This 483-nucleotide ribosomal RNA is filed under the name Listeria monocytogenes. RNAcentral describes it as "partial 23S ribosomal RNA". It matches the Rfam family "Bacterial large subunit ribosomal RNA", at positions 1 to 475 of the family's 2925-position model. Lineage: Bacteria; Bacillati; Bacillota; Bacilli; Caryophanales; Listeriaceae. The record is from RNAcentral.